CUACAGGGUGCGGUCCUGGCUCUUGUGUAAGAAUUCUGACUGCACUAACUAUGCCUAGGAAGGAAAGGAGUUGUUGUUUUGUAAGAGAUUGAGGUUUGGGAGAUUAAUAGGACACGAUCAGCAGGGAAAGCACGUAUGUUUUUAUGAGAAUUAUGCCGAGAUAGGUAACAGAUGAGGAUGAAAUUUGGGCUUGACUGAAGUAAUGGGGGCUGUCUAUGAAGCCUUGUGGCAGUACAGCCUAGGUAAUUUGCUGAGCCUAAUAGGUGUCAGGGUCAGUCCAAGUGAAAGAAAAGAGAGGCUGGGACGAGGGGUGCAGGGGAAUAGUGAAAAAAGCAUCUUUAAGAUCAAGCACGGAAUAGUGAGUGGUGGAGGAAGGUAUUGAGGAUAGGAGAGUAUAUGGGUUGGGCACCACAGGGGGGAUAGGCAAAACAAUUUGGUUGAUAAGGCACAGAUCCUGAACUAACUUGUAAGGCUUGUCUGGUUUUAGGACAGGUAAAAUGGGGGAAUUGUAAGGAGAGUUUAUAGGCUUUAAAAGGCCAUGCUGUAGCAGGCGAGUGAUAACAGGUUUAAUCUUUUUAAAGCGUGCUGUGGGAUGGGAUAUUGGCAUUGAGUGGGGUAAGGGUGAUUAGGUUUUAAUGAGAUGGUAAGGGGUGCAUGAUUGGUAGCCAAGGAGGGAGUAGAGGUAUCUUAUACUUGUGGGUUAAGGUGGGGGGAUACAAGAGGAGGACGCAAAGGAGGCUUUGAAUUGGGAAGAAGGGUGGCAAUGAGAUACAGCUGUAGUCCAGGAAUAGUCAGGGAAGCAGAUAAUUUAGUUAAAGUGUCUCAGCCUAAUAAGGGAACUGGGCAGGUGGGGAUAAUGAAAAAGGAGUGCUUAAAAGAGUAUUGUCUAAGUUGGCACCAGAGUUGGGGAGUUUUAGGAGGUUUAGAAGCCUGGCCGUCAAUACCCACAACAGUUAUGGAGGCAAGGGAAACAGGUCCUUGAAAAGAAGAUAAUGUGGAGUGGGUAGCCUCCGUAUUGAUUAAGAAGGGGACGGGCUUACCUUCCACCGUGAGAGUUACCUGAAGCUCGGCGUCCGUGAUGGUCUAGGGGGCUUCCAAGGUGAUUGGGCAGUGUCAUCUUCAGCCGCUAAGCCGAGAAGAUCUGGGAAGGAGUCAGUCAGCCUUGGGCCAGAGUUCCAGGGGUUCUGGGAGUGGCUGUCAGGUGAGUUGAACAGUCCGAUUUUCAGUGGGGUCCCACACAGAUGGGACGUGGCUUAGGAGGAAUCCCAGGCUGCGGGCAUUCCUUGGCCCAGUGGCCAGAUUUCUGGCAUGUGUAGCAAGCUCCUGGGGGAGGAGGUUCUGGAGGAAUACCUGGCCACUGCGGUUCAGGCAUUUGGAAGUUCUUGUGUGCUGGAGAUGUGGCUGGGGUUUGUCUCACAGUGGAGGCAAGGAAUUGCAACUGUUUUCUGUUAUUGUACACCUUGAAGGGUGAAAGUUCACCGGGGACCACCUGUGGUUCUGAAUUCAGGUACUUUCCUGCCCCAUUUCCCUCAGAGUGACCAUCAGCCUAGAGGCAGCAAAACUGUGCUGUUGGACAGAGGAGCAGUUGCCCGAGGUGACCCAGGUGAGCCAUGGAGGUUCGUGAGUCACUCAGCAGAGCUAGCAGAAAACUGUGAAAAUGGGUCUGAGCUAGGCAUGACAAUUCCCUCAAGGACGCACUGUUCAGAACUGCACGCAUCAGAAGGAAAACCAAAGACACAACAUGUUACGUGAAUUCCCCGAAAUGAGAAAGGCUGAGUAACUUCCUUGAGAAACUGCCACCUGGAAUUAGGAGUUAACCUAGUCUCCAUGGACACCCAAUUUCUUAAGGAAUUUGAGUUGAGCCACUCCUGGAUAGACAAAGGCGCCUCCCAGGCACUGAGGCUUGGUUUCCUCUUCCGGAAUCACUGAUUUGCCAUUGGAAUGUUAUGAGCUCAUGGAAGCAGGUGGCAGGGGAGGAGCGGAGGCCACUGGACAGCACAGCGGAGGUUGCAGUGAGCUGAGAUCACGCCAUUGCACUCCAGCCUAGGCAACAAGAGCGAAACUCCAUCUCAAGGAAACAAACAAACAAACUCCAAAACCAACCAACCAACCAAACAAAAAACCAAAGGAGUCAAAAAGUGGAGCCCAGUUCCUAGAGAAUUUGGAUCAUAAAGCUUUAGCUAAUAUGAGGAAACCCUGAUGCUCUUAUUUACCUCUGUGCAUCUCAGCAGUCCUUGUCAUGCUACUCCUGUUAAUUUCUCUUCAGAUGUAAAAACAGAUUUUCCAAGAUUUCCCCCACUUCUCUGCUUUCUUCUAAAAAACAUGUAUGUUUGGUGGUCUCCAGUUCUCUUUUGGAACUGUACUUCAGUUAAUCUUGUUCAUGGCAGAUCUGAGAGCUCCUGCCUGUUGCCAAUGACUGUGACUCGCUUGGCAGAAAGGAAAGCUGAUCUCAGAGCGCUUCAGCUGCACCACAGAUAAUGUGCUCAAGUUAAAAGCAAUGGAAAGGUCAUAACAUGUCAUAUCUGGAGCUGGAAUGUUUCACAAUUUAUUGAGGAUUACUUAUUUUAUUUUAUUUUUUUCUCCAUAAGCACAAAUAUUGCCAAGAAGAGUAUGAGCUACAAUUUUAUGUCAUGGAUAAAUUAUUUCUUCCACAUCGCAAUUAAUUUUUAUUUAAUUCAUUUUCAUUCAUUAAUUUAUUCAUUACACAAGUAUUUCUUGAGUUCCUACUAUGUGCCAAGCUCAACUGAGUUGGUUGAUGGAAAAUAUGCCAUCUUGUGCUUUUGGCCAUGGACUCUGUAAUUUAGUACUUUCUAGUUCUCUUCGCCCAUUUCAGUAGAUAGUCUCAUUUAAUUUUGUAUUUAUCACAAAGUGUAUUGUUAAAAUCUGAAUUCACUUAUAUGUUUCUAAAGCAAUAGUGAUAAUAGUUACUAUAAUCAUAAGAUGUCAAGCUGAUUUAAUAUAUUUAAAGAUCAACUUGCUAACCAAUUUCAAUGCCAACAUACUUUAAAUCACUGAUAUAAAAUGGUUGUAGGAGACAAGAAAAAUUUAAAAAGAGGGAUAGGAAACUUAGGUACACUGUGCCCAUCAGUGACCUUGGGAACCUGUUAUAAAAUCUUUUACAUUUUGAAAGGGUGAAAUGAGUGGUUGGAGAGAGACAUUUAAAAAAAAACAUAUGCAGGUAUAACAACACAUUUAGCAAACUAAUUGGGGCCUGUUUGCAGUAAUGAACCAACCUGUUGUCCAUCACGAAUGCACCAGUCAAUGUUGACAAUGGUGACAUUGUGUGUUCCCAGGACUCAGAAGGUUGUGAUGUGAAAAUGAUCCUCCAGUCAGCUCUGUUAGCCUUGAUUCCAAAUUGAACUCUUAGAGAAAUAUUUGGUUAGACCUGAGCUUUCAAAAUAAAGCAAAUGCACUUAAAAAAAUCAAAAUAACUUACAGACAAUGGUUUUACAGAACCAUGUGGAUUAAGUGGAUUUAACUGUAAUUUUAGACAAAAUAAGGUUAGUUUCAGGAGACUUCACAUCAGGAGUUUUAAAAAGUUAAACAAAGCACACCAAUGCAAUGGAAUUCCAUGCUGGCUGCCUGGUGGUAAAACGAAUAAGCAGCUUCCUAGAUCAGCACAGUAAUCAGUGGCCAUUAGGCUAAAAGGAAUCAAAAGAUACAGAGUUCACCUAGAGUUUUUAUCAGCGUUUAGUGGUUUUUGACUGAAAUUACCUUAUAUUAGUAAAAAAAAAAAAAAAAAAAAAAAAGAAAAAAGAAAGAAAAGAAAAAUCCAGAUUUGCAUUAGGUCUUCUAGUGGAAAAUCAAAGCAAGUGUUGAACAAUACAGGUCAGGAAGAAAUAAAACAAAAAAUCUACAAAACAAAAACAGGAUCACUUUGCCGAAAUAAUUCAGAUUAACCACAAAUACCAGCGUCGCUGGGCAAUUACUCCAUUCCAGGCAGUGGCGGUUGGAUCUUUAUGCAUGGCCAGAUUUCUACUGAGUUUAAUAUUUCUCUAACAGCCACGUAAAAUAGACAUUCUUCAGCUAGGAGUUUGAAGGCUCCUUAGUGUAGCCUCGCAAUUGCCCACCCAAUCCUUUCUACCUCUGGGAUGCACAUGACCAGCAGGCCCCGAAAGAUCCACCAUUUCAGCAGCAGUGGGGAGGCAGAGAUAAAAAUGGCUUAGCCUUCUUCUCAGAGGUUAACAGUGUGGCUGAG
Molecule: long non-coding RNA, 4198 nt
Filed under: Homo sapiens (human)
Lineage: Eukaryota; Metazoa; Chordata; Mammalia; Primates; Hominidae
Description: HSALNT0273814
Source: RNAcentral